UUGGAGGGCAAGUCUGGUGCCAGCAGCCGCGGUAAUUCCAGCUCCAAUAGCGUAUAUUAAAGUUGUUGCAGUUAAAAAGCUCGUAGUUGAAUUUCGGGAUCAAUAUUUCGGUCAUGCCGUUGGUAUGCACUGUUAUCAUUGAUUUCUCACCUUCUAAAGAACCGUAAUGCCAUUAAUUUGGUGUUACGGGGAAUUAGGACUGUUACCUUGAAAAAAUUAGAGUGUUUAAAGCAGGCUCACGCUUGAAUACAUUAGCAUGGAAUAAUGAAAUAGGACAUCCGAUUCUAUUUUGUUGGUUUCUAGGAUCGAUGUAAUGAUUAAUAGGAAUAGUUGGAGGCAUUAGUAUUCAAUUGUCAGAGGUGAAAUUCUUGGAUUUAUUGAAGACUAACUACUGCGAAAGCAUUUGCCAAGGAUGUUUUCAUUAAUCAAGAACGAAAGUUAGGGGAUCGAAGGCGAUCAGAUACCGUCGUAGUCUUAACCAUAAACUAUGCCGACUAGGGAUCGGAUGAUGUUAAUUUUUUAAUGACUCAUUCGGCGCCUUACGGGAAAC
RNAcentral lists this ribosomal RNA (550 nucleotides) under Funneliformis mosseae. Its description in RNAcentral is "SSU rRNA". It matches the Rfam family "Eukaryotic small subunit ribosomal RNA", at positions 548 to 1098 of the family's 1831-position model. Lineage: Eukaryota; Fungi; Glomeromycota; Glomeromycetes; Glomerales; Glomeraceae. The record is from RNAcentral.